Erigeron canadensis is the source of this 2046-nucleotide long non-coding RNA. RefSeq lists it as uncharacterized. The record is from RefSeq and is a predicted model, not a curated record. Lineage: Eukaryota; Viridiplantae; Streptophyta; Magnoliopsida; Asterales; Asteraceae. The transcript has 13 exons.
UAAAUUAAAAACCCUAACUUGUAUUAUAUAAAUUAACUCAUUUUUAUGAAAAUCCCUAAAUUUCCCAAUUCAAUUUAAUAGCAAGAACCCUAAUUUUCUAAAGGAAAUCAGGUUAAAUGAAAAUUCGGUACUUUAAAACUUUGGAUAUAUACAUGUGAGUGUGUGUGUAUAGAUAUUUGUUCUGACAGUAUUUGAAGAGGAGAGAGAAGGAACUAGAUCUUGAUUACUAUGAAGAAUUUUAGGUUGAAGUUUGAAGAUUAAAGAGAACAAAAAGAUGGUCUUCAUUAGAGGUUAAGAAAAUCAAGUAACACCUCACCUACUGCUGCUACUCUACAGGUUAGGGGUUAUGGAAGGUUGGUCGAUCUGGUUUUAGCUUGGAUUUUCAUAUUCAGGAUUAUGCAAAGAAAUUUGAAGAAAUCUAAGAUUUCAAAUACCAGUAUAAGCCUAAGUGUGUGUAUUGUGAUUGGUUGUGACAGGAAGGAUGUAAAGUUCGUGUGAAUGAGAGAGAUUUAACAGAGCCAAACAUGAUUGUAGGCGAAUUGUUACAACCCAAUUUGAGGUCAUUGAAGUUUUGGUUCGGGAUGGUGUUAAAAUAUGCCUCACCAAGCUUGAAGGUUGCUUUGAGAUUAGAAGCUUUCGAUGUUUGAACGAAGAAGCUGAGCGUUGCAAUAAAAGAGGUACUUGCGGAAGAGGCUGAGAAGAUUGCUUCGACACAUCGUGAUAUUUCACAACAACAAUUCUGGAUACAGAGCAAUGCAAAGAACUGAAAAUGGGUUCUUAUCUUGGUGUUGCUGCUACUUCUACAAAUCCUAAUUUAUUCAUUUAUGUUAUAAACCGCCAACUAGAGCAGUCAAAACCAAGCUUGCAUUAGUGGGCAAGGGUUUGACUUUUGACAGAAUUGGAGUUUUUUUAAGCUGCUUUCUAAUGUGGGGUUCAAGAAGAAUGAUCAUUUUUAAUUGUUUUCAAGUGUAUAGUUUCAUCGGAAGUGUUUUUAGCCGUGAGAUUAAAGGGCAUGUGUGGAAACUGAAGGAUGUAAAUCCUAUAAACUUUGGAACAGUCGUAUUAUUAUUGUGAAGUCUCAAACCCCAAGUUUCAGCAAAUGAUCAGUCUUAAAUGAGGGAGAUCCUGGGGACCCAAGCCCAAUCAUGUAACCAGGAGUGGUCCAAAAGUUUAUUUUCUCAAGGUAUAGACAUGGAGAUUGAGAAGGCAACAUCCAACAUCUACCCACCUCAGAUUUGCCGCAUAUGAGAGCUCAACUCAUAAGCUCAAGGAUGUUCAACAAGCUGGUCAUAACGAAAGGUUGGAGGUCGGCAUACAUGGCAGAUAUUCUAUUGUUGAAGGAUCAAAACAGGCGGGUCUUAAAGUGAAUGAUGAUGGAGUGGACAUCAUAGUGAAUGUGAUUAACUGGAAAGAUAUCAACAGAAGCGUGGAUGUCUUUCUAUAUAGAAAUGCUGAUUUUGAGUGUGCUGGUAUAUACAUGAAAGUAUAUAUUUCCUUCAAAUUGAAAAAGAGGUUUUAGGCAUAAAUGGGCCAUAUGGUUUAAAUUCGUAUGAUUUUGAAACAAUCAUUGAUGGGUUUGUUGAAGUGAAGGACAUGGAGGAAGCAGAGAACUAUGAAUAGCAUUUCUCAUAAAGGUUAGUGCAAAUCAAUGUGUAAGAGCAAAAGAAAAGGUUUUAUUUGAUUUAGAGGAUGUUAACUGUGGAACCAGUUUCAAUGUAAUACGUCAUUGGAAAACACAUGGACAUUGUAUACAAAUGGUCAUUUAAGCAGAAUAUGAGUAAGUGAAAACUCGAUCAAAUGCUAAUGACGAAAAUCAUGUCGAAGAUGAAAGUGACACUGGUCACGAGGUAGUUAUGAAGGAUCCAAGUGCACUAUAUUUUUUUUGUUAAAUAAACGACGUAGUUGUAUAUUAUUUGAAGAGUUAAAUUAGAAUUGGAACAACUUAAGCAUAGGAAAAAGGACUUGGAAGCUGAUUGUUAGUAGAUAUUACUUUGAAAGAGACUCUAUUGCUUAUGGUUUAAUGCUCUUGUGGACAAUUCCUUGAAA